GUUUUUAUAGUUUAAAUAAAACCUUGGUCUUGUAAAUCAAAAAUAAAUUAUAUUUUAAAAACU
Molecule: transfer RNA, 63 nt
Filed under: Corythoxestis sunosei
Lineage: Eukaryota; Metazoa; Arthropoda; Insecta; Lepidoptera; Gracillariidae
Description: tRNA-Thr
Source: RNAcentral